Molecule: small nuclear RNA, 164 nt
Filed under: Microtus ochrogaster (prairie vole)
Lineage: Eukaryota; Metazoa; Chordata; Mammalia; Rodentia; Cricetidae
Description: U1 spliceosomal RNA (ENSMOCG00000003978.1)
Rfam family: U1 spliceosomal RNA
About the family: U1 is a small nuclear RNA (snRNA) component of the spliceosome (involved in pre-mRNA splicing). Its 5' end forms complementary base pairs with the 5' splice junction, thus defining the 5' donor site of an intron.
Source: RNAcentral
AUACUUACCUGGCAGGGGAGAUACCAUGAUAACGUAGGUGGUUUUCCCAGGGAGAGGCCCACCCAUUGCACUUCGGGUGUGUUGACCCCUGCGAUUUCCCCAAAUGCGGGAAACUCGACUGCAUAAUUUUUGUUAGUGGGGGACUGCGUUCGCGCUCUCCCCUG